GGAUAAUCGUGUUCAAAACCCAGAUACUCAAAAUAAUUUAGUAUAUUUAAAAAAAUAAUAAUUUCAUACACAAGCUCAAGGAACUUGAUGCGUCUUCUUUGAUGUUGCUGCUAAAGUGGUGGUGCGCUUGCAUAUAAGAUAAUUAGAUGAGUGCAGAGUGGUAGCUAGUGCUGCUUGAUGGAGAAUUUUACCUAACGAAACUCCACUCAUCUUGAUGGGAGAAGUGGUGUCUUAGCGCGCUUUGUGAACAUCCCCUAGGUUAGGCUUGCUGAUUCUUGGACUUUGUCAUCUACCAUUUGUAUGGACUGGGUUAUUUUGCUCUUUAUUUCUAAUCCUAUUGUGGAUUUAUUUUCUUAUCAUAGUGAGCUUUCAUCAUACAAUCUCAUUCUUACUUGAAAAAAAGCACAAAUCAGUGAUUAACUUAGAAGUUAUGAUGCAGUAUCUGGUUUUCGAUUGGAGAAGAGACCAAGUUGUUUAAUCUUUGUAGAGCGGUGAAUAAAGCUGGAAUCUUUAGUACAAACAAAGGUUUUAAAUGUCAAGAGCAUAAAGAUUCAUGUUAAUACCUGAACAUAUGUCAACUGUAUGCACUUUUGAAUAGUUUGAUGUUGUUGAAGUAAUGAAUGCUUGAUGUUUUUGUGAAUCUUUUCCCUCUGCACCAUCUUGCUUUCUCGCAAUUUCUGCUAUGAGCUGCCUAUACUGAAAUAUAUGCCAGGACUUAGUUACAGUGUGGAUCUAAAAAUCAUAUUCAAUUCGCUUAUGGGGACACUUUCUUGAAUCACUGAAUCUAUUCUCACGCAGAUGAUUUUUGGAACCACAGUUACUUUACUACUGACCAAUCUUUUCUUUCAUGGAGUAUGCAUGCAGCCCUCUACUCUUCCAGUCCAGAUUCUCCGUGUAGGGCAGUUAAUAAGCCAUCCUCAGUGUACCUGGGAGUUGAGAGCUCUGAAAUUUUAAGGAUUAAAAAACCUUAACCAUAUUAUUCGUUGCGUUGGAUUCCAAAUGGAGAGGAACAUGGUGAACAAACUGUUGUUAUGAGACGGAACAAUACGAUAUCGUAUUGGAGUUUUCUUUUAUUACAUGAACUACUUUACUGGCCUUGUAUUCCUCUACCUCAUAUAGUAGCAGACUGCAGGCCAUGUGAUAUGCCCUUGUCAUGGAACCGAGUUCUUUCCCUCUUAAAAGGAACAAAACAACAAUAACACAGCAAGCAAAAGUUGAUGAUUUCUUAGCUUUAUUAAUCCAUGAUCAUGACAUGUCUGGCUCCUCACGAGUCAACGAAGGCCACCGAAAUUAAAGGAGCAAUCAUCUCUAGUAGCUGCCACAGAGUUCAAGGGAUGGUGAACCUGACUUCCCUUGGUUAUAAUCGUAUUUUGCUGUGGACCAACACUCAUAAUUAUGUGUUUCAAAGGCAGAUGAUAUCCACUAAUGCACAAGCGUAUUCAAGCUGGGUUUUGAAAAUGGUCCCUUCUUGUUCUUGCUUUAGUUUCCCUUGUAUGAAAAACAGGUAAGCAACUUAGCUAUCAGAUUUGUUUGUUUCAGGCUCAAUUUCUUACCCCUUAAUUAUUACACGCAAGUUGAUCA
Molecule: long non-coding RNA, 1581 nt
Organism: Populus trichocarpa (black cottonwood)
Lineage: Eukaryota; Viridiplantae; Streptophyta; Magnoliopsida; Malpighiales; Salicaceae
Exons: 2
Source: RefSeq, a predicted model, not a curated record